This 504-nucleotide ribosomal RNA is filed under the name uncultured bacterium. Its description in RNAcentral is "partial 16S ribosomal RNA". It matches the Rfam family "Bacterial small subunit ribosomal RNA", at positions 30 to 523 of the family's 1533-position model. The record is from RNAcentral.
AUUGAACGCUGGCGGCAUGCCUUACACAUGCAAGUCGAACGGCAGCGUGGAGAGCUUGCUCUCUGAUGGCGAGUGGCGAACGGGUGAGUAAUGCAUCGGAACGUACCGUGUAAUGGGGGAUAGCGUAGCGAAAGUUACGCUAAUACCGCAUACGACCUGAGGGUGAAAGCAGGGGAUCGCAAGACCUUGCGUUAUACGAGCGGCCGAUGUCAGAUUAGCUAGUUGGUGAGGUAAAGGCUCACCAAGGCGACGAUCUGUAGCGGGCCUGAGAGGAUGAUCCGCCACACUGGGACUGAGACACGGCCCAGACUCCUACGGGAGGCAGCAGUGGGGAAUUUUGGACAAUGGGGGCAACCCUGAUCCAGCCAUGCCGCGUGAGUGAAGAAGGCCUUCGGGUUGUAAAGCCCUUUCGGCCGGGAAGAAAUCGCACAGGCUAAUACUCUGUGUGGAUGACGGUACGGGCAUAAGAAGCACCGGCUAACUACGUGCCAGCCGCCGCGGUAA